CUUUCGGAUAAUGCAUUAUGGGGUUCAAUCGACUGGAAAUGCCUUCGUCUAUAACCCAUUUGAAGGAAUACAUUGACUUACCAAUCACCCUGUAUAAUAAAUGUCCCAGAGCAUGCCCCGGCCUACAUAGCUGAAAAAUUUUGGGGUAUAUUAUAUUUAUUUUAAAAUAGUAAUAUAUUAUGAAUUCAAUUAUGCUUGACUUUAAUGCUUAGUAAAAAUAUUAUUUCAUGAUAAGUAUUUUUUUAUCAUCAGAAAUAUCAAUGUCACACUUUUUUGUCAUUUGAAAAUGACCCAUUUGUUGGUUGGCACGUAAACAAAGUUUAUGUCACUUGUCAGUUUUCAGUGUCAUUAAUGUUUUUUUUUCGAGACUAAGGCAAAGGACUAAAAUCGAAAUUGAGCCUAAAAUGCCUACGUCACUUCCGGUUUUAAAAUAAUAAAGUUUAAAGUUAAAUAUAACAUGGAAAAAUAAAUGUACAUGAAAAAUAAAAAAAUACAGGUCCUCUAAUUUUUAACAAACUUUCCGAAUAGCUAAUAAAAAUAUAGGGUAAAAAAUGAAAUGUUGUCCAUUGAAAUAAAAUAAUAACACAAUUAUUGAUUGUGUGUUAUACUUAUUUAUCAAUUCAUUAUGACUGACAAGAUAUUUAUCAACUAUCUACCUACACACAAAAUCAACACAUCCGCAGUGAAUUAACUAUGAUCAACACAUAACUGUCAGCGGUCAACAUUUAUUAUUUUCAACAUUUAUUCGCCAUUUCUAACUAAAUAAUGCGGCAAAUUAAAAAGCCCUAAUGUCAGUACUUGUAGUUUGAAGUGAAAUGAAGUUGUCAUUUAGUCGGUUAACCAAAUCACAGAAUAUUUUCAUAAAAAUUUUUCAACCUCUAGUCUAGUGUAUCGAUAAAUCUCAUACCUAUUAUUCGUUUAGUGAUCAUGACCGAGAUAGCCGAUGCCAAAAAAUGGUUAGAAACCCAUCAUAGAUUUAUACGGUUAGUAAUCGCGAAUCUUUGACACCCGAGUUACAUAAUGGCCCGGCUGUUACCUAUUAUUCGUUUAGUGAUCAUGACCGAGUUAGCCGAUACCAAAAGACGGUUAGAAAUCCAUCAUAGAUUUAUACGGCAAGUAUUCGAGAAUAGUUGACACCCGAGUUAGAUAAUGUGGGUGCAGGCAUAGGCACGUUGAAAUGAAAUCUCAUCAUAAAAAUUGCCAUGCGUAAAAAAUCAAUAUCUACCAUUAAUUUUAUCGCAUUUUAUGAUUAUAAAAGCAGUUCUUUACGAAUCAUUGGGUUUUAUUUUUAUUGAUAAAUAGGUACGAGAAUUUUAUCGAUAUUAUAAUAAAUAAAUGAAAAUUUCAAUAAACCAAUUUAUUCCAACAACUUAUUUUGUGGGAUUUAAAAUCGAUAUUAAUCUUAUCAAGUAUCGAGGAACAACUUUUUUAUUCAACGUUGAAGAAAAAAACCAUGUAUGUGUGUAAGUCUUGUCACUUUUGACAGUUACUAUUUUCUUUUUUCUGUUGAAAACUUUAGCCGAAAUUGUCUGAACUGUUUGAACUGAAAAAGUCUCAAGAAGUUUCUUUUAAGUAUCCAAAGUAAGAAAAAUGUUGAGGAUAAGUUGGGUCCAUAAAGUGACGAACGAAGAAGUUCUGCGACGCGUCGGAAGAUCCCGAGAACUCACCUUGACCAUAAAACUGAAGAAGACAAGCUAUCUUGGACAUGUGCUCAGACACGAUCGAUACAGACUUCUUCAGGUCAUUGUGAUGGGCAAGGUAGAGGGGAAAAGACGUGUGGGCAGAAGGAGAAAGUCGUGGCUCCGUAACGUAAGAGAAUGGACGGGAGUGGCCAGCGUAGAACAGCUGAUGCGCUUGGCGAAGAAUAGAGAGGAGAACUCCCAGCGCAGAGGCUGAAGCCAAAGGAGACAUGAUGGUUUUGCAGCGCGAGCAGAUACAAUGCGAUAGCAAGAAGGCGGACACCAUGGAAAUGGUAGCUGCAGCAAGAAAUACACAAACUGCUGUAAAUUAGGCCCACAAUGCCAGAUGAAUGGCAUUCAUAGAAGCAGGACUUGAGUUGUGGAAAAAUGUAGAUAGUAUUCCUAAUCGUAAUUCAUUAAUGAAUCCUACUUAAUAUAACAAAAACAUGUCUUUAAAUGCAUCAACAUGGUACCUAAGUUAUAUACUUUUUUCUAGGCUCUUGAGAAAAAGGAGGAAUAGUUCUAAUUAUGUAAUAACUUGAUUGUUACUGAAUGAUUAUGAGAAUACUCAAAGACUUAUAUGGGAAAUAAGGCUUUUAUCAUUAAUAUUAUUAGUUUUAUUAAAGCUUUGUUGUUUUCCAAGAUGAUUUAGUCAGCAGUGGAUAUCUGACUUUAGAGAACAUAUACUUAGGUAAUUUGGUUAUUCUAGGAAAGAGACUUAAAUAAACAAACUGUGAUUAAUUUGUUGUUUAAAUAAAUAUAAAGUGAAUGUGUA
Molecule: non-coding RNA, 2454 nt
Organism: Plutella xylostella (diamondback moth)
Lineage: Eukaryota; Metazoa; Arthropoda; Insecta; Lepidoptera; Plutellidae
Source: RefSeq, a predicted model, not a curated record